AAAGAUAGAGGUUGCGUAUUUCAAGAGUAGUUUUUCUGAUGUGACAGGCACAGACGAGGAAAGAUUAAAGGGGAAGACGCCGAAAGAGGAGAUUUCCUGCAAAUCGAAUCUUGGGCAUACAGUGAAGAACUGUAUGACUGUCAUCUAAGCGAUUAGAUGGGGAGCUAUCA
RNAcentral lists this non-coding RNA (170 nucleotides) under pig gut metagenome. RNAcentral's name for it is "Lysine riboswitch". It matches the Rfam family "Lysine riboswitch aptamer". From Rfam's summary of the family: Riboswitches are metabolite binding domains within certain messenger RNAs that serve as precision sensors for their corresponding targets. Allosteric rearrangement of mRNA structure is mediated by ligand binding, and this results in modulation of gene expression. The record is from RNAcentral.